UACGGAGGGUGCAAUCGUUGUUCGGAUUUACUGGGCGUAAAGCGCGUGUAGGCGGUUUGAUAAGUCGAAUGUGAAAGCCCGAGGCUCAAACUCGGAAGUGCAUUCGAAACUGUCAGGCUUGAGUACGGGAGAGGGAAGUGGAAUUCCUGGUGUAGAGGUGAAAUUCGUAGAUAUCAGGAGGAACACCGGUGGCGAAGGCGGCUUCCUGGACCGAUACUGACGCUGAGACGCGAAAGCGUGGGGAGCAAACAGG
RNAcentral lists this ribosomal RNA (253 nucleotides) under uncultured bacterium. Its description in RNAcentral is "partial 16S ribosomal RNA". It matches the Rfam family "Bacterial small subunit ribosomal RNA", at positions 524 to 776 of the family's 1533-position model. The record is from RNAcentral.